Molecule: unclassified non-coding RNA, 545 nt
Filed under: Aspergillus sydowii
Lineage: Eukaryota; Fungi; Ascomycota; Eurotiomycetes; Eurotiales; Aspergillaceae
Description: sequence contains 18S rRNA gene, ITS1, 5.8S rRNA gene, ITS2, 28S rRNA gene
Rfam family: 5.8S ribosomal RNA (bases 176-329)
Source: RNAcentral
ACCUGCGGAAGGAUCAUUACUGAGUGCGGGCUGCCUCCGGGCGCCCAACCUCCCACCCGUGACUACCUAACACUGUUGCUUCGGCGGGGAACCCCCUCGGGGGCGAGCCGCCGGGGACUACUGAACUUCAUGCCUGAGAGUGAUGCAGUCUGAGUCUGAAUAUAAAAUCAGUCAAAACUUUCAACAAUGGAUCUCUUGGUUCCGGCAUCGAUGAAGAACGCAGCGAACUGCGAUAAGUAAUGUGAAUUGCAGAAUUCAGUGAAUCAUCGAGUCUUUGAACGCACAUUGCGCCCCCUGGCAUUCCGGGGGGCAUGCCUGUCCGAGCGUAAUUGCUGCCCAUCAAGCCCGGCUUGUGUGUUGGGUCGUCGUCCCCCCCGGGGGACGGGCCCGAAAGGCAGCGGCGGCACCGUGUCCGGUCCUCGAGCGUAUGGGGCUUUGUCACCCGCUCGACUAGGGCCGGCCGGGCGCCAGCCGACGUCUCCAACCAUUUUUCUUCAGGUUGACCUCGGAUCAGGUAGGGAUACCCGCUGAACUUAAGCAUAUCA